UCUCUUACACAGGCUGACCGAUUUCUCUUGGUGUUCAGAGUCUCAGUUUCUGUCUAGCACCAUUUGAAAUCGGUUAUGAUGUAGGGGGA
This is a microRNA precursor of Chrysolophus pictus (golden pheasant), 89 nucleotides long. NCBI's taxonomy places the organism in Eukaryota, Metazoa, Chordata, Aves, Galliformes, Phasianidae. The record is from Ensembl.